RNAcentral lists this ribosomal RNA (422 nucleotides) under uncultured bacterium. Its description in RNAcentral is "bacterial SSU rRNA". It matches the Rfam family "Bacterial small subunit ribosomal RNA", at positions 355 to 774 of the family's 1533-position model. The record is from RNAcentral.
UGAGGAAUAUUGGGCAAUGCCCGCAAGGGUGACCCAGCAACGCCGCGUGAAGGAUGAAUGUCGUAAGAUUGUAAACUCCUGUUAGAGGGGAAGAAUAGUACCGGUUGGACCGGUAUAUGACUGUACCCUCAGAGAAAGCCCCGGCUAACUACGUGCCAGCAGCCGCGGUAAUACGUAGGGGGCAAGCGUUGUCCGGAUUUACUGGGUGUAAAGGGCGCGCAGGCGGGAUAAAAAGUCAGUGGUGAAAUCCUACAGCUUAACUGUAGAACUGCCUUUGAUACUUUUAUUCUUGAGUUCGGGAGAGAGAGACGGAAUUCCAGGUGUAAUGGUGAAAUACGUAGAUAUCUGGAAGAACACCAGUUGCGAAGGCGGUCUCUUGGUCCGACACUGACGCUGAGGCGCGAAAGCGUGGGGAGCAAACA